UAUUAUUUUCAGAUAUUCAAAAUAUGUUUCUCUUUUGCAAUUUACAUUAUUACAUUCCACUUAUGUUUUCAUUGAAAAAUGCCUCUUUUUUUCAAGCUGGCAUUGGAAUCUUGACCCUCAGCUUCCUCAUUUUCUUCCUCGUCUUCACACUUCUUCUGUAAUGCAGGCCUGAGCCCACAGACCUGACCAUUUAUCACCUGGUCUUCAUCCACAUAGUGAUCCUCCUUACUCUGGUGUCAUUGUUGUCUCCAGGUCUGCCUGAGUCACUGUAUUUUCAGAAUGACUUCAAGUGUAAAGGAUUUUUUUUACCUGAACAAGAUGAUGAGAAGUUUCUCCAUCUGCACCACCUGCUUCCUGAGUGUGCUUCAGACCAUAAUCAUCAGCCCCAGAAGCUCUUGGAACAAUGCUGCUUUCAAGUGCAUACAGAGUGGUCCUUUUGUUCAGGCACCAGAAGAAAUUCUGAUACUUUCACAGCACCAGCCUCUCCCCAAGACCUUCCCCAGAGAAAAGUGCCACUCAGACCAUCCUGCUGCUAGCCUUAAUACAGAGAACAUUUUUCUUUCUUUUUGAAGUAUAAUAUUAAGAAUAUCCUCCUGGUAAUAUAAUCUCUCUGUCUUCGUAUUUUUGAGAAUGUUUUAUUUUUAUUUAUUAAAGAUAUUUGACUAAAUAUUAAAUUCUUACACUCAAUAUUUACUUCUCCUUGUUCUGGCUUCUAUCAAGGCUGUGUGGAUGGUGCCUACAAAUUUGUGGCUUACCUCUGUUUUUUAUCUCCCUAAUUUUAAGAUUUUUCUUUCUUUUUAGUGUUAUACAGCUUGACUAUUAUUUCUGUAUAAAUGAUCACCUGUAUUUACCUUUUUUUUGAAAACUAUGUACUUCUGAAUUCGAGA
This 887-nucleotide long non-coding RNA is filed under the name Homo sapiens (human). RNAcentral's name for it is "HSALNT0282465". Lineage: Eukaryota; Metazoa; Chordata; Mammalia; Primates; Hominidae. The record is from RNAcentral.